UGAUCCGCGUUUAGCCACUUGCGCCGCCAACGGAAAAGUUCCACAUCAAAAACCUGGGGUGAUGGUAGGUCAUCUGCACAGUACUGCAAAGCGGCUUGUACAGGGUUUCCUUCUCGAGACAUUAGCAAGGCUGGAAGUAGGCACAGGAGGGGAGACAUCACAGCAUCAUUACUGGGGUCAAAUUCUGUGUCUUUCUCAGAAUUAAGAUGAUCCGACAGAGGAAUUGUGAGCGCUCUUGUUCCUGCUUCGACAUUGCUUCGGUGCUGUUGCCGAUCAACAACGCGUGGCAUAGAUGGCAGUUUCCCCGGAUUGAUUUGCAAACAGCCGCUCAUUUGACAUACCUUCUAGUGCUCUUAGUAUAGAUGGCAAAAGCGCAAAGAAAACUUCAUGUGCCUCAUGCCUUU
Molecule: long non-coding RNA, 404 nt
Organism: Orbicella faveolata
Lineage: Eukaryota; Metazoa; Cnidaria; Anthozoa; Scleractinia; Merulinidae
Source: RefSeq, a predicted model, not a curated record